Molecule: ribosomal RNA, 494 nt
Filed under: uncultured bacterium
Lineage: Bacteria
Description: partial 16S ribosomal RNA
Rfam family: Bacterial small subunit ribosomal RNA
Source: RNAcentral
GACGAACGCUGGCGGCGUGCUUAAUACAUGCAAGUCGAACGGUGAAGCGCCUUCCUUUUUGGUGGGUGUGGAUGAGUGGCGAACGGGUGAGUAACACGUGAGUAACCUGCCCCCUUCUUCUGGAUAACCGCAUGAAAGUGUGGCUAAUACGGGAUAUUCUGGGUCUGUCGCAUGAUGGGUCUGGGAAAGAUAUUGUUUCGGUGGGGGAUGGGCUCGCGGCCUAUCAGCUUGUUGGUGGGGUGAUGGCCUACCAAGGCUGUGACGGGUAGCCGGCCUGAGAGGGUGGACGGUCACACGGGGACUGAGACACGGCACAGACUCCUACGCGAGGCAGCAGUGGGGAAUAUUGCGCAGUGGGCGCAAGCAUGAAGCAGCGGCGCCGCGUGAGGGAUGAAGGCCUACGGGUGGUGAACCUCUUUCGCCAGUGAAGCAGGCCUGCCUGGUUUGUGGGUGGGUUGACGGUAGCUGGUUAAGAAGCGCCGGCUAACUACGUG